Molecule: RNA transcript, 868 nt
Organism: Paramormyrops kingsleyae
Lineage: Eukaryota; Metazoa; Chordata; Actinopteri; Osteoglossiformes; Mormyridae
Gene: rhoq
Gene name: ras homolog family member Q
Source: RefSeq, a predicted model, not a curated record
CUGUUCAGUGUGUGUGUCGGCUUGAGCAGGGGAGGGAAAGCCCUUCGUUGCCAAAUUUGGCAACUGGGGAGGAGAAAUGCCAUUUUCAGUUGUUUUGCUGCGGAGCGCAGACAGACCGGGGCGCUGGUGAUGACUGCCCGUUGGGGAUCGCUGUUCAACAGAAGAAAACUGGGCGGCUGAAGAUGAUGAUUUUGCGCGAAUCAUGGCUAACGGUACGGGCACAAUCAUGUUAAAAUGCGUGGUCGUUGGAGACGGUGCUGUGGGCAAAACUUGCCUGUUAAUGAGCUAUGCCAACGACGCCUUUCCUGAGGAGUACGUUCCUACCGUUUUUGACCAUUACGCAGUGAGUGUGACUGUCGGAGGGAAACAGUAUUUAUUGGGACUGUACGACACAGCUGGUCAGGAAGACUAUGACCGCCUGAGGCCUUUGUCCUACCCCAUGACCGACGUCUUCCUCAUCUGCUUCUCUGUGGUGAACCCGGCCAGCUUCCAGAAUGUGCGAGAAGACUGGGUUCCGGAGCUGCAGGAGUACGCGCCCAGUGUACCGUUCCUGCUCAUUGGAACCCAGAUUGACCUACGAGACGACCCCAAGACCAUCGCCAAGCUAAACGACAUGAAGGAGAAGCCCAUCGCCACAGAGCAGGGGCAGAAGCUGGCCAAGGAGGAGGAAACCACGUCAUUUUAGCUUGCUGCUUUCUAGCCUUUGUGGUCAUCAUCCAGACUGGUUCUCUUUCAAGAUUGGUGCAUGCUGCUACGUGGAGUGCUCGGCGUUGACGCAGAAAGGGCUGAAGGCGGUCUUCGACGAGGCCAUCAUCGCCAUCCUCGCGCCAAAGAAGGGUGUCCUCAAAAGGCGUCUGGGCUCCCGCUG